This 504-nucleotide ribosomal RNA is filed under the name uncultured bacterium. RNAcentral's name for it is "partial 16S ribosomal RNA". It matches the Rfam family "Bacterial small subunit ribosomal RNA", at positions 28 to 506 of the family's 1533-position model. The record is from RNAcentral.
GACGAACGCUGGCGGCGUGCCUAAUACAUGCAAGUGGGACGCAAGGACACACACUGUGCUUGCACACCGUGUUUUCUUGAGUCGCGAACGGGUGAGUAACGCGUAGGUAACCUGCCUAUUAGCGGGGGAUAACUAUUGGAAACGAUAGCUAAUACCGCAUAAUAUUAAUUAUUGCAUGAUAAUUGAUUGAAAGAUGCAAGCGCAUCACUAGUAGAUGGACCUGCGUUGUAUUAGCUAGUUGGUAAGGUAAGAGCUUACCAAGGCGACGAUACAUAGCCGACCUGAGAGGGUGAUCGGCCACACUGGGACUGAGACACGGCCCAGACUCCUACGGGAGGCAGCAGUAGGGAAUCUUCGGCAAUGGACGAAAGUCUGACCGAGCAACGCCGCGUGAGUGAAGAAGGUUUUCGGAUCGUAAAGCUCUGUUGUAAGUCAAGAACGAGUGUGAGAGUGGAAAGUGCAGACAGUGACGGUAGCUUACCAGAAAGGGACGGCUAACUACGU